This 520-nucleotide ribosomal RNA is filed under the name uncultured Glomus. Its description in RNAcentral is "SSU rRNA". It matches the Rfam family "Eukaryotic small subunit ribosomal RNA", at positions 569 to 1091 of the family's 1831-position model. The record is from RNAcentral. Lineage: Eukaryota; Fungi; Glomeromycota; Glomeromycetes; Glomerales; Glomeraceae.
AGCAGCCGCGGUAAUUCCAGCUCCAAUAGCGUAUAUUAAAGUUGUUGCAGUUAAAAAGCUCGUAGUUGAAUUUCGGGAUCAAAUUGUCGGUCGUGCCUCGGUACGUACUGGCGUUAUUGGUUCCUACCUUCUGAAGAACCACGAUGUCAUUAAUUUGGUGUCGCGGGGAAUCAGGACUGUUACUUUGAAAAAAUUAGAGUGUUUAAAGCAGGCUCGCGCUUGAAUACAUUAGCAUGGAAUAAUGAAAUAGGACGUUUGAUUCUAUUUUGUUGGUUUCUAGGAUCGACGUAAUGAUUAAUAGGGAUAGUUGGGGGCAUUAGUAUUCAAUUGUCAGAGGCGAAAUUCUUGGAUUUAUUGAAGACUAACUACUGCGAAAGCAUUUGCCAAGGAUGUUUUCAUUAAUCAAGAACGAAGUUAGGGAUCGAAGACGAUCAGAUACCGUCGUAGUCUUAACCAUAAACUAUGCCGACUAGGGAUCGGAUGAUGUUUAAUUUUUAUGUACUUCAGUUCGGCGUCCGUU